This 360-nucleotide transfer RNA is filed under the name uncultured Microcystis sp. RNAcentral describes it as "partial 16S-23S ribosomal RNA intergenic spacer". The stretch from base 135 to 208 matches the Rfam family "tRNA". Lineage: Bacteria; Bacillati; Cyanobacteriota; Cyanophyceae; Chroococcales; Microcystaceae. The record is from RNAcentral.
AAGGGAGACCUAAUUCAGGUAUGGGACGAAAAAAAAGUAGUCCCUACCAAGAAUCAAUCCCAAAAGGUCGGAGCGAGGCAAAAUUGGCUUUCAAACUAGGUUCUGGGUUCAUAAAAGACCUGAAUCAGGAACAAGGGCUAUUAGCUCAGGUGGUUAGAGCGCAUCCCUGAUAAGGGUGAGGUCCCUGGUUCGAGUCCAGGAUGGCCCACCUGCACAGGUGGCAAAAACAAGAGAAGCUCCGAAUCAGCACCUUAUCUUAUAUACAUAUAUAAGAGAGAAUGCUGGCUCUGAGUAAAGAGUCCAGAGGAACCUUGAAAACUGCAUAGAGCUAGGUGAAAAAGUCAAAAAAGAAGACCGCAA